Molecule: long non-coding RNA, 4054 nt
Organism: Pan troglodytes (chimpanzee)
Lineage: Eukaryota; Metazoa; Chordata; Mammalia; Primates; Hominidae
Exons: 6
Source: RefSeq, a predicted model, not a curated record
AGAAUGUUAGUUACCAGAAGUUGGGAGGGGUGAGGGCGUUUGGGGAGAUGUUGGUAAAAGAAUACAAAAUUUCAACUAGAAAGAAGAAAUAAGUUCAAGAGAUACAUUGUACAACAUGGUGACUACAGUAAUAACAAUGUAUUAGAUUUUUUAAAAAAAGUAAGACAGUCAUGUUUAAGCCAAAUCCCAGAAUGUAGUUGUUGGGUGUUGGUGAUAUUUGACUAAGGCUUUCUUCAUGUCCUUGAUAGGCACAGGUAAUCAACAUAUCUGGAACACGUGCAUUCUGGGAAUAUUAAUUCUGAAAUGAAGUGUAUUAGUGACAGAACCACAAAGUAUUAAUCGGAACACUGGUUCACUCAGCUUAAGACUCUAUCAGCCUUCCUUGCAUAGGCCAUCUUUGAAGAAGUAAACAAGUACCAUACAAAAGGGAUGACAGAACAACGAAACAGAAGGCUUCCGAGGCGAUCCGGCAGCAUCAGUCUUCAGCCGCUAAGCCAAGAAGAUCUGGGAAGGAGUCAAUCAGAGAGCCUUGGGCCAGAGUUCCAGGGGCUGUGGAAGUGGCUGCCAGAGAUUUCCUUUGUGGUUCUCUUCCCUCUUCUCUUCCCUUCAAUUCAUCGAUGAGGCUGGUACCGGAAGCCUGGCCCUGAGUGUUCAUUCAGGUAAGUAGGGCUUCCGCCUCGAAAGGCUCGAGGUUGAGAUAGACAGACAGGACUCUCAGAGAAGGGAGAUAUGGAUAGAGUGAUUGAGGCUACUGCUUGGGCUUAAGAAGAAAUUUCUUCUUGGAUCUUUGGUGGUUUAUUUGUUUUCCUGUACUACUCACAUCAUCAGAGUGGUAAGAUUAAAAGCCAAAGUCAACAAAAUAGGAGAAAGUCCAGGGAAAAGCAGCUUAGGGAGUAAGGUAUUCAGCCUCCAGAAUAUGUGAAAGGCAUUGUGGAAUCUUGUGCUAUUAAGAUUACAAAAACAGAUUGCAAGCCGUGGUGUCUUAGUCCAUUAGAGCUGCUAUAACAAAAUACUAUAAACUGGGUGGCUUAUAAACAAGAGAAAUUUAUUUCUGUCAGUUUUGGUGGCUGAGAAGUCCAAGAUCAAGGUACCGGCAAAUUCAGUGUCUGGUGAGGGCUCAUUUCUCUCAUAGAAGCCUUCCAGCUGUGUCCAAGGAGCUCCCUGGGGUCUCUUUGUUAUGAGGGUGGAACCCUCAUAACAUCGUGACCCCCCAAAGGCCUCACUUCCUAAUACUAACACUUUGGAGAAGUAGGAUUUCAACAUAGGAAUUUUGGAGGGGCACAAAUAUUGAGACAAUAGCACCUGGCUACUGAUGAAGUCUGUCCUGUGUGUUUAUCUCCUUUUACCACUUCUGUGAUCAGAAGAAGACUGGGGGAGGAUUCUGACCUCAUAUUCGAGAUUAUCAUAUUCUCUUCGAUGAUGGAAAUAUUAGUCAUAUAAGUUGCCCUUUAUGUAGUUUUACAAAAUAUCCCUUUGGAAAGAACUAGAACACAUGAAAAGGUAGUGAGACUUGGUUUCUGUGUCACUAUACUCCAUGAAUGUGAUUAUUGAAACAGGUAUUCCUGAAGUCUUUUCCCACUUGGAGUAGGCAGCUACUGACUCUCAAGACGUGUGUGUUUUAUAGGUCUUGAGUAUUUGCAUACACGUCAAAAAUUAGGUCACAGGGAAAUGGCAUGAAAAGAACAAAAGCACAGUUUAAAUUUCCCAUAACCAGACCAAGCUAUCAAAACUAUUUUUUUAUUAUAAUCAGGUUAAGAGAUUAUAUGUUUUAAGAGUUUGGCAUUUUUUAAAAACAAGUGAGCAAAAUUAUGUAUUAAAAAUAAGAGACCACAGGUUAUAAAAGGAGGAUUAUCCUUAAAUAUAAAGAGCUUUUUAAAAAGUAUAAAUAAAUCAGGGUGUAUAUUAAGUAUUCAAUUUGCUUUGCAGCUUCUUGAACAAUUUAAAAGGGAACAUUUUGUGAAGAAAAGGAAAUUAGUGGUGAUUUCUUAAAAAAAUAAAAUUUAAAAGAUAUUUUCUGACAUUUUUGUCAUAUUUUGAAAGAAUUCUAUUUGUAUAAUAUUAAGUAUUUUAAUCCUCUUUGCUUAUUUUACAUUCCAUUUUUAACAAACUAGGCAAACAAUGUUUUUGUUAGUGGUAAUUAAUCUACACAUCCUGUUUGUGUUUUAAUUUAAACUGUUCUCAUGGAGUUAAGCAAUAUUUCUGUAAUUCCUGUUUUAGUUUAUGAGUGAGUCAGAAAAUAUUUACUAUGCACAAAUAGGUAUAAGAAUAACAAUUGUUGUAGUCCUUAAAUCAUCAAUCAUUGUCACCUACUGUAUUAGCCCAUUUUCACACUGCUAUAAAGUAUACCUGAGACUGGGUAAUUUAUAAAGGAAAGAGGUUUAAUUGACUCACAGUUCUGCAUACCUGGGGAGGCCUCAGGAAACUUACAAUCAUGGUGGAAGGCAAAGGGGAAGUGAGUACCUUCUUCAUGAUGUGGCAGGAGAGACAAAGAGAGACUGAGGAAGUGCUGCACUUUAAAACCAUCAGCUCUCUUGGUAACUUUCUUGCUAUCAGGAGAAUGGCAUGGGGAAAUCUGCUCUCAUCAUCCAUUCACCUCUCCACUACAAUUUGAGAUGAGAUUUGGGUGGGGACACAGAGCCAAAUCAUAUCACCUACACUUCAUGAAAAUCUUGUUAGUAUAAAUAUAUCAACACUUAAGCACUCUUUAUUAGUAUGACAUGUAUUUUUUAGUAUAGUAUGUAGACACAUAAUAAGGCAAAUAAUUGCUAUACUAAUACUAGCUAGCAUUUCUCUAACACUUUUUUGUAUGAUAGACAUUAUUCUAAAUGUUCUAGAUGUGUGAACCUAUUUAAUCCUCAAGGCAACUUAAUGAAAUAGUUAUGAUUAUUAUCUGGAUUUUGUGAUGAAGAAACUGAGCACAAAAAGUUUAAGCACUGGCUAAAAGUCAUGCAACUGUGUAAAAUCCCAUCAUUUUAUUUGCCAUACUUUAUUAUUUUCUAAAGUUGUUUUGAGCAUGCAUUAGAAGGGUGCUCAAAAUUAAAGUGUUAUUUUUAUAACAAUUUUUGUAAGUAAUAUAUAUCAAUUAUAUCACACAAAAUAUACUAAAUUUGCUUUCUAACAAUAAUACAACUUCCUAAAAUUAAGAAAAAUAAGGAAAUAAAAAACAAGUACUGCCAUGUGUCACUUAGUGAUGAGGAUACAUUCUGAGAAAUGCCUCGUUAGGCAAUUUCAUCACUGUACAAACAACAUAGUGUUACUUAUGCAAACCUAUUUGGUACAGCCUACUACACACCGAGGCUACAUGGUGUAUAUAAGUCUAUUGCUCCCAGACUACAAACCUGUACAGCAUGUUACUGUACUAAAUGCUAUAGGCAAUUAUAUCACAGUGGUAUUUGUAUACCUAAACAUAUGUAAACAUAGAAAAGUACAUUAAGUAUAAAGUAUAAAAGAUAAAAAAUGUUAUACCUCUAAUAGGGCACCUACCAUGAACAGACUUUACUGAACUUGAAGUUACUCUGGGUAAGUCAGUGAGUGACUACCGAGUGAAUAUGAAGGCGUGAGGUAUUACUGUACAAUACUGUAGACUUUAUAAACACUAUACAUUUAGGCUACACUAAAUUUAUUAAUAUUUUUAUUUAAUAAUAAAUUAACUUAGAUACCAUAACAUUUUUGUUUAUAAUUAACUUUUUAAACUUUUAACUCCUGUAAUAACAGCUUAAUACAUGAACACAUUGAUAGCUGUAGAAAAAUAUUUUCUUUCUUUAUGUCCUUUUAAGCUUUUUUCCAUUUUUAAUUUUACUUUUAAAACUGUUUUUGCUAAAAACUAGAAAACAAAAAUACACAUUAGCCUGAGACUACACAGGGUCAGGAUCAUCAAUACUACUGUCUUCCACCUCCAUAUCUUGUCCCACUGGAAAGUCUUCAGAGCCAAUAACGGGCAUGGAGCUGUCAUCUCCUUUGAUAACAAUGCCUUCUUCUGGAAACCUCCUGAAGUUCCUGCCUGAGGCUGUGGUACAGUUAAUGUUUUUCUUUUUAAUUAGUAGAAGUACACUCU